This 233-nucleotide long non-coding RNA is filed under the name Populus tremula. Its description in RNAcentral is "long non-coding RNA (PTRE_LNC000762)". The record is from RNAcentral. Lineage: Eukaryota; Viridiplantae; Streptophyta; Magnoliopsida; Malpighiales; Salicaceae.
UAUGUUAGAAUGGUUAGAAUGUGAGCUCGCCAGGAAGGACGUCAGGCUUUUGCUUUACUGUUGAUAACGUUGAGUUUUUCUAUAUUGAUGCUUUUGUUUUUAAAAUUUAUGAGUGCUGCUGUUCGUCUUGGAGCAUGUGUUGCUGUGUACCGUUUGAUAUGGACCAUAAAGUUGACCUCACUUGCAUGUGACGGGCGAUGAAUUUGGUUAAAGAGAUUGGUGGAAAAGCUGAG